GACGAACGCUGGCGGCGUGCUUAACACAUGCAAGUCGAACGGAAAGGCCCUGCUUGCAGGGUACUCGAGUGGCGAACGGGUGAGUAACACGUGGGUUAUCUGCCCUGCACUUCGGGAUAAGCCUGGGAAACUGGGUCUAAUACCGGAUAGGAGCCAUUUUUAGUGUGAUGGUUGGAAAGUUUUUUCGGUGUAGGAUGAGCUCGCGGCCUAUCAGCUUGUUGGUGGGGUAAUGGCCUACCAAGGCGGCGACGGGUAGCCGGCCUGAGAGGGUGGACAGCCACAUUGGGACUGAGAUACGGCCCAGACUCCUACGGGAGGCAGCAGUGGGGAAUAUUGCACAAUGGGCGCCAGCCUGAUGCAGCGACGCCGCGUGGGGGAUGACGGCCUUCGGGUUGUAAACUCCUUUCGCUAGGGACGAAGCUUUUUGUGACGGUACCUAGAUAAGAAGCACCGGCUAACUACGUG
RNAcentral lists this ribosomal RNA (465 nucleotides) under uncultured bacterium. RNAcentral describes it as "partial 16S ribosomal RNA". It matches the Rfam family "Bacterial small subunit ribosomal RNA", at positions 28 to 507 of the family's 1533-position model. The record is from RNAcentral.